GACUCAUUCUAAGAGUCUCUGAAGUGGAUAGGCACAUUGAUGAGUGUCUUUGGGUGGUUGGUUAUGUUUACACAAUUUGGUGGCUUCUAUGUUUUGUGGCUGCACUAGGUGGUUUUCAUGGACAGGAAUCACCAGCAGGAGUGAGGGAGUGACUGCACUUCACCCUGUUCUUCUUCUUCCUGGGAUUUUCAAUGGUGGCUUGGAACUCUGGGAAGGGAGGCCUUGUGCUCAACCACUUUUCAGAAAUCCAUUGUGGCCUCCUACUUUUGCUCAAUUCUUCGAAAGGCCUCUGUGCUAUUUAGAACAUCUUUCUCUGCAUAAUGAAACUGGAAUGGAUCCACCAGGCAUUAGAGUGAGGGCAGUACCUGGGCUUGUUGCUGCAGAUAACUUUGCUCCUGCUUAUUCCUUUUGGUCUCUGUUAAUUCAAAUUUGGCAAAAAUUGGAUAUGAAGGGAAGAACUUGUACAUGACUUCCUAUGACUGGAGACUUUCUUUCCAAAAUACCGAGGAAAUUGCAUGUGAUGAUGUAUGGACUGAACAUGAUGAGAUGAGCAGAGAAAGCACCCAAAAAGUUGCUACAGAAAAGGUUUACACAGCAAGAACUGUUAUUGAUCUGCUUAAUUUUGCAGCUUCAAAAACGAUGAAGCGUGCUAAGGCUCACUUCUAUCAUGGAAUUGCAGAGAACUUAGAUGAUCCAAAAUAUGCUCAUUACAGAUACUGGUCCAAUCCACUUGAAACCAAGUAAGGAUAGUGUUAAUGUUGCAAGUGUGAGGAGUGCAUGAAGUUAGUUCAUAUCAAAGAAAGCAAGGAAGAAUGAGGAGUUUACACUUUAAGAUUUUGAGUUGGAUUGGAUGCGGUGUCUUCUCAUCUUAUGUUAUCUUAAUUGGUUCUUUCUCAAAAUCUCUUCGGUGAUAAACAACCAUGUGACAUAUACUCAAAAUAACUCAUCAAUA
RNA transcript from Arachis duranensis, 952 nucleotides. It is a transcript of the gene named putative phospholipid:diacylglycerol acyltransferase 2, with no coding region annotated. The transcript has 3 exons. Lineage: Eukaryota; Viridiplantae; Streptophyta; Magnoliopsida; Fabales; Fabaceae. The record is from RefSeq and is a predicted model, not a curated record.